GCCGAAGUGGUGAAACUGGCAGACGCGCACGGUUCAGGGCCGUGUGGGCAUCGCCCGUGUGGGUUCGAAUCCCACCUUCGGCA
This 83-nucleotide transfer RNA is filed under the name Candidatus Dadabacteria bacterium. Its description in RNAcentral is "tRNA-Leu". It matches the Rfam family "tRNA". From Rfam's summary of the family: Transfer RNA (tRNA) molecules are approximately 80 nucleotides in length. Their secondary structure includes four short double-helical elements and three loops (D, anti-codon, and T loops). The record is from RNAcentral. RNAcentral also lists the same sequence under 2 other names. Lineage: Bacteria; Pseudomonadati; Thermodesulfobacteriota; Candidatus Dadabacteria.